RNAcentral lists this transfer RNA (87 nucleotides) under Bacteroidota bacterium. Its description in RNAcentral is "tRNA-Ser". It matches the Rfam family "tRNA". Rfam says of the family: Transfer RNA (tRNA) molecules are approximately 80 nucleotides in length. Their secondary structure includes four short double-helical elements and three loops (D, anti-codon, and T loops). Lineage: Bacteria; Pseudomonadati; Bacteroidota. RNAcentral also lists the same sequence under 2 other names. The record is from RNAcentral.
GGAGAGAUGCCAGAGUGGUUGAAUGGGACGGUCUCGAAAACCGUUUUACGGGCAACUGUAACGAGGGUUCGAAUCCCCCUCUCUCCG